GCCUCCUUAGCUCAGGUGGCCAGAGUGCCCGUCUCGUAAAUGGGAGGUCGUGGGUCCGAAGCCCGCAGGAGGCUC
RNAcentral lists this transfer RNA (75 nucleotides) under Mycobacteroides abscessus subsp. abscessus. RNAcentral's name for it is "tRNA-Thr(cgt)". It matches the Rfam family "tRNA". From Rfam's summary of the family: Transfer RNA (tRNA) molecules are approximately 80 nucleotides in length. Their secondary structure includes four short double-helical elements and three loops (D, anti-codon, and T loops). Lineage: Bacteria; Bacillati; Actinomycetota; Actinomycetes; Mycobacteriales; Mycobacteriaceae. RNAcentral also lists the same sequence under 1 other name. The record is from RNAcentral.